CAGUAGCCGCGGGAAUACGUAGGGUGCGAGCGUUAAUCGGAAUUACUGGGCGUAAAGCGUGCGCAGGCGGUUAUGUAAGACAGUUGUGAAAUCCCCGGGCUCAACCUGGGAACUGCAUCUGUGACUGCAUAGCUAGAGUACGGUAGAGGGGGAUGGAAUUCCGCGUGUAGCAGUGAAAUGCGUAGAUAUGCGGAGGAACACCGAUGGCGAAGGCAAUCCCCUGGACCUGUACUGACGCUCAUGCACGAAAGCGUGGGUAGCAAACAGGAUUAGAUACCCCAGUAGUCCCUGUCUCUUAUAC
RNAcentral lists this ribosomal RNA (301 nucleotides) under uncultured bacterium. RNAcentral's name for it is "partial 16S ribosomal RNA". It matches the Rfam family "Bacterial small subunit ribosomal RNA", at positions 509 to 807 of the family's 1533-position model. The record is from RNAcentral.